ACUGGGGCACGAACCCAUGUCCCCUGCAUCGGCAGGCGGACUCUCAACCACUGUGCCACCAGGGAAGCCCUUGAUUCUCUUUUUGAUGGUUGAUUUUUCAGUGAAAAGUACAUGCCUUUUAAUUCCUACAAAAUGGCAAGGAAGAAUAAAUUCUCUGUAAUUGUCACUUCUUAAUGGAAUUAGAAACAAAGUAUGAAUGCAUCAGAGAAAUGAACAAAAGGGAUAGCACGCUAGAAGUUGACAGAGUUCAGGAGUAUGAGAAGAGAGGAAGGCUGCUGGAUAUGGAAAGUCAAAAAUGCAUAAUGAAGCAAGCAUGAGGUCACAGAAGAAAGUAGAUGGGUUUUAGAAAUGUUGGAUCAUUGAAACCACGGUGAAAAUUUCAACCAUAGGAACCAAUUAGGCUUGAUGACCUAUCUGUACAAUCACUCUCAGCUCUGAACUGUGAUUUCUGCUAACACCCAGCCGACCUACUGAACAACAGUUCAUAUAGGAAAAUAGUUUUAAAUUACUUAGUACACGAGGCCAACAAGAUACUUAGAGACUUUUCUGGAAAAGGAGAAAAAGGCUCUUACUAGAUCACUGGUUAUUUCCAUGUGGGUUGUUUCCAAAGAGUUGGGACACUUUUCCCACCCCCAAGCUGCUGGAAUUAAGGAUUUUAAAUAUUUUCUCUGCAGUCCUGCUUAGCCCAGUUUUUAGCCCAGAAUAUGAAAUCUUAUUGAAUAUCUUAGCCUGUUCAGGCUGCUGUUAAAAAAAAAAAAAAAAAAACCAUAAAAUGAGAGUCUUAUAAACAACAAGCAUUUGUUUCUUACAAUUCCAGAGGCUGGAACCGAGGUCAGGGUGCCCUCAGGGUCAGGUGAGGGCCCUCUUCCAGGCUGCAGACUUCUCGUUGGAUCCUAGCAGGGCAGAAGGGGUGAGGGAGCUCACUGGGGUCCCUUCAGUAAGAUCACAAAUCCUAUUCUUGAGGGCUCCACGUUCACGCCCUAAGCACCUCCCAAAGCCUCACCUGCUAAUGCCAUCACAUUGGCCAUUAGGGUUUCAACAUAUGAAUUUGGCAGGGAGGCGGGGACACAAAACUCCAAACAGAGCAAUGAACAAGGCUGUAUUCAUAAGAUAAAAUACAUGUGAUAACAGGAGAGGCUGUUUAAGCUCUACUUGCUAAGGUUUCAUGAUUACCUCUUAAACUAUAGAAAAAAAUUAUUCAAGGUAAUGCACUAUGAUCUUGUCCCUGGAGUUUAAACAAAAUCCCACCAUCGUCAGACUGCAGGCUGAUGAGGUCCCCAAUGCCCCUUCUGAGUUACAAAGCCCUCGGUUUCCAUGGCUCGAGUGGAAGUUUAUGUGUGUUUAGAGUUUCAUCUGCUGUGGAGAAGUGAUCAUUAAAAAACACCCGUCUUUUAAAAAUAUCUACUCUGUAUGCAUAAUAUUAAACAAAAAACUAUGGGGUAGAGAGAGGAGUGUUUUCAAUGGAUAAAUUAUCAGGUGUUUUAACAACAUCCCAGAUCUUUUUAGCCAAAGCAGUCUAAUUACCUGCAUUUUUAGCAUGCCUGCCCCCCCAGUCAGUGAUCUACUCAUUCUCUUCUCCUCUCAUGCAUUCAUUCACUCACUCGUUUAUUCAUUCAAUAAACAUUUACUAGCGACACAGCAUCAGUCAAAUGGACUCUGCCCUCGGGGAGGUCAGAGCUGGCCUAGAAUUCAGCCUGGGUGCUAUGCGAGCAUCUAAAGCAGACCAGGGAGCCAGGAAGGUCUCCUGGAGGAGACGAACCUUGGGCUGCGUUUUCAGGGGCACAAUAUACAGGGUGAGUGUUUCAGAUAUGGGUGCCACCUAGAGGAAUGGGGGUCUUACACCAAAACUUGUGGUUCCCGUGGGGAGCAGAGAAGGUGAUGCCCUAUCUUCCUAUUCCCGUAUCUUCCCACGUGUUCUUCCCUUGCCUAGAAUACUCUCCUCCCAUUUUUUGCCUGAGUACUAAUUCUCCCUGGAUUCUGGUUUUUCUUAUGUUCCCAGAAUUUAGGACCAUGCCUGGCCCAUACAGAUGUCCAAUAAAUGCUGUUAAAUGAAUGACUGACUUUAAUGCAGUACAGUCAUCAUGGACUCAGACGAGUCUGUCCUAACUUUCCUAGAAAGAAGUAGCUGCUCUUCCUUUUAACCUGAUAGUGGUCCGCAGUUUCCUGUAACACAGAAUUUGUUUUUGGCACUGCAUUGCUGGUUUGCUGUGACCCUGCUAGACAGCGAACGCCAUGAGGGCAAGUAAGGCAUCUUUCAGCUCUGAAGCUGCAGCAUCUGACACAGGGCUUGUCAUGCCAUUGGUGCUCAAUGAGUGAGCGAUGUGAGGAGGAAGUGGUCCGGUGUCUCUCACAUAAGCAUGCUGAGAAGGCAGUUCCCCAGGGCAGGGCCAGAGGCUGUUCAUGCAGACCCCAGUGCCCCUUUAGCUGUGACUGAUGGGGGAGGCUGCAUCUCUCUGGGCAGAGCCACGGUGCUGCAAGACCAAGGAGUGGCCGUACGAUGGCCCAUGUACUGCCCGAGGGGCCACUCCCACUGUGGUCCACAACACUGCACGGCCCUUGCCUCAUGCCACCUUGUCCGGAGCUCCAAGUUGCCCAGGUGGACCCACACCUGUCCCAGGCUCUGCUUUUGGUGACAGGGGUGGUCUGGGUGGGCAGCCCGAGCCCAGGCAGUGACUGCCCCCCUCCUGAGCUUUUCUGUUUCCUGUUGCAUCUCUCAUCCUAAUCUCUCAGGAAGCCAUCCCUCUAGGUGUUUGGGUCUGUUUGGACUUUCGUUCCAAAAAUAUUUGUUACUUAUUAUGUGCGUGGUAUUGCCUAGUUGCCAUGGUAACGUCUGCGCUGCAGCCACACCCAGGGGUGUGAGAUGUCUCCUUUGGAGCAUGAUGUAGAGGGAACUGGGUCUGAGCUCAGUCCCACAGCCAGGGUCUCUCCUCACGACCCCUACACUGGCACUGGGUAUCGACUCACCAAGGGGCAAUGCCCUGGUGUCUUGAAAUAAGGCAUCAUCUCAUUUUUUCCAUUUGGUAUCAUUACUGAGCAAAGGCAAACACCCCUGAGACUUAUAAGAGAAAAGCCAACACCUCACUCCCCAAAAUAGACAUAAAACCUGACCAUCUCUGUUGAAGCUGCAAUUAUGGAAUCCUGGGGUUUGAAAGGACCUUAGAGGUCACUUAGUAUAUAACCACUUCAAUGCACAGAUUCUAUUCUCUGCUAAGCCAGGAGCCAGCAUACGCUUGAAUACCUUCAGCUUAAGGGAACUCGAUACUUUAUAAGGUAGCCCGUUUCAAGGUUGGAGAGCUCUGACCUUAAAUUUGUUUUUUUCCCUUUAUGAGCUGAAAUUGGUCUUUCUUGACAUCCUACCCAUUAGCCCAGUUUCUAAGCUUUUGCACCACUCUCUGAGUUAUCCAUGGCACCAGAACAAAAUUACCACAAACUCAGCAGCUUAAAACUACACAUGUAUUAUCUCUCAGUGUUUGUAAGUCUCGUGAGGCUAUAGCAAGGUGGUAGCUGUGCUAGGGUCUCAUCUGAAAGCUUGACUGGGGAACAGUGCACUUCCAAGGACACACGGUCUCUGCCAUGUUUCUUGCAGGUUGUUGGACUAAGGCCUCAGUUCCUUGCUGGCUGUUGGCCAUUUCCACGUAGGCGCCUCUAUAGGGUAGCUCAUGGCUUGGCAGCCAGCUUCCUCAAAGCCAGCUAGGGAGAGAGACAGCCUACCAGAAGUUAUGGUUGGUUACCAGCAAGUUACUCAAAGAGAGGGGGUUUUAUCGGCCUGAAUACCAAGAGGAAGGGAUCGUGGGAUCCAUCUUAUCGUCUGCCUGUUACAGCCACACAGAAGGAAUCUACUCUCUCUCCCACACAAUGAUCCUUCUAACACUUGAAAGUAAUUCUUAUGACUUGCGCACCUUUUUGUCCUGGCUACACCCAAGUGAGUAUCCUCACCAUCCCAACCACUGUCCUCAGAAUUUGCUUUGCUGUGUAUCUCAAAGUGGGGAUACACUCAAAGAUACUGAUACACUUUGCGUUUCAGUGUCUCAAACUGAAACUCAGUUCAGUCCUCUGGCUGGAACUGACUAGGGUGGAGUGGGACCCCCUGGGAGCAUAAGCCCUGGGAGACCCACAGCUCCUCCUACUAAUUAAGGCUUGAUUUCAAACAUAGACAUUCGAGGAGCUCAGCCACUUGCUGGGGAAGAGUUCUGGUGUCAGUGCACUGAAUUCAGAUUAACAGUCCUAUUAAUGUUUUGGAGCAAACAUUCCAGAGAUCUUAGAGUAGUAUGCGUUUUUGAAUAUGAAAAUUGGAAAAAUGAAUAUCUUCCCCCUCCUGUAUCCUGUCGCCCACCAAUCUAGUGAAUAGUUUACUCUAAACACAGAUUGAUUUUUUUCUCUCUAGAGUAUUGAACAAAUAGAACAACUUUUCAUGAAAAUAGACUAUGAAGCAGUGGGUAGAAUUCAGUGGGUAAGUUGGGUUGUGUUUUGUGAGUCAGACUUGAAGUUAGUGAGGAAAAUGUAUAAAAUGUUUGGUUCUGAGCCUUUCUGGAGUAUCCUAUGCCCCUCAGUACCCUUGCCAAGUUGAAGUUGAACCAAGGGGACAUGCAUAUUCACAAUUUUCAAGUUCUCGUAAUGUCAGGAUAUGCCUGGAAUAGCUUCACUAGGAAUUGCAGUAGCUCAGGCAAGUUCCAAGAAGGCAUUCCUAAAACCAGGAAAUGAAGGCUACAUCUGCCACCUUACCCAAAAGCAAAAGUGAAACACCGGUGAGCAAGAAAUCCUGCGAACAAGCAACACCUGGUGAUAAUCAGAUCACUGACACAUGGAAAGUGUUUAGAACAGGGGCAGCCACAGAGUAAUUUCUCAACAAAUGUUAUCAUCAUCGUCAUUAUUAAUGUUUCCCAAUUUGGGUUGUAUAAUGAGGAGCUGAGACAUCUGCUUUUAAAAUUCUCUGCCAUUGUGCAUCAGUAUCCUAUUGUUCUAGGAUGAAUCAAGUUCUAAAAUGACAAGCUGAGCGGCAUUCACCUCUAUUCAGACCUCGGGCCACUGCCCCAACCAAAGCAAAUACAGUGUUUUCACUGUCAUCUCAUUUGAAAGGGAACAGUCAGGAUUCCAGGGAAGAGAAGGGAAGACUCUAGUGAGUUAGGGCUUUGGGGGAAGCGGAGAGAAAAUGGAGAUGUUCCCAGGCCCUACAGGCACGCCCACCCCUUCCCCAGACCGCAGGUCGGCUUUUCCCUACGUGCACUGCCGAGAUUCGAAAUGAGGCAUACAUCCUGGUGGGUCAGAACUGUGCAGUCAGACCAAUGGGGGCUCAAGUCUCAGGCCAGCCACUUACUAGCUGUUUGAUCUUAGGCAGAUUAUUUAACCUUUCUAGGCUUGAGUUCCCCAAUUUGUAAAAUGAGGAGAGUAACAGUACCUACCUUAUCCAGCUAUGGCAAGAACGGAGGUGAAGGUCCACAUUGCACGGAACAGGGUAUGUGCUCAACCCUCACCAUCAUCUUUAGACAGAGAGACUGGGCAGGGAAGCGAGACACUGAGUAGCAAAUUUCCAGCCCUAACCGAACAGGCGCACCCCAGUUAUUAGCCCCGAGGUUUUGGCAACCAAGUUCACAUCGAUAAGCUACUAAUUAUGUCAAGACUUAUCCAUGUCCUGAGGAUAAAGAGAAUUUUUGAAAGACAGUAGACGUUUACUGAAUUUUCCUUUCUUACCAGGAUGGCUUCUGCACGUACCUGCAGUUAGUGUAUUCAGAGCAAGCUGGUGCUCUGGCUCGCCAGAAAGAGGUUUCCUCCCAGCUGCCUGCUGUGCUGCGAGGGCUGUCGUAUGGGGGUCCCGUGCUGUGCAUUCUCUCUGCGCCUGACGACACCUUAAUCAUGAUCAGAGAAGAUGGGGCCGUUUAUUUCUGGUCCCUGCAGCUGAAGUUGAAAAGAAGAAAGCGGGUUUUUGUAUGUGAUUCUCAUUUGAUAAGGAUGCUGAGUGCUCCAGUUUGAUUUUAUUUGCUAUUUUAAACUGCUCCUCGAGUGGCAUGAUUACAGAAAUUGUGUCCUUGAAGAUAAUAUAUUCAUGUUGGAUUUUGCCAGUCUAUGGAAUGCAAAUAAAAUAUGAUCUCUAUAUGUA
This is a long non-coding RNA of Aethalodelphis obliquidens (Pacific white-sided dolphin), 6094 nucleotides long. RefSeq lists it as uncharacterized. The record is from RefSeq and is a predicted model, not a curated record. NCBI's taxonomy places the organism in Eukaryota, Metazoa, Chordata, Mammalia, Artiodactyla, Delphinidae. The transcript is spliced from 2 exons.